CUCCUGAGUAGCUGGGAUUGCAGGCACCCACCACCACGCCUGGCUAAUUUUCUUUCUUUCUUUUUUUUUUUUUUGUAUUUUAAUAGAGACGGGCUUUCACCACAUUGGCCAGCUGGUCUCGAACUCCUGAGCUCAGGCAAUCCGCCCGCCUCGGCCUCCCAAAGUGCUAGGAUUAGACGUGAGCCACCACACCCGGCCUGUGGCUGUUUUUAAAGCACGGCAUCCUCCUGCUCCACUUGCCCUUUGCUGCUUUUUGGAGGCAUCAUUUUCUUGGACCCACUUCUUUUCUGUCUAUUUUUCUUGCUGAGUUUUCAUAGUUUGCUGGGUUUUCAGUUUGGUGGGUAUUAGUUGAACAUUUUCUGUGUGCCAGGAGCUGGAAAAAACAGGAUGAAAAGACACAGACCUCAGGUGUAGUGGAGACAAAAGAGACAAAGUCUCACUUUGUUACAUGGGCCUGUCUUAAACUCCUGGGCUCAAGUGAUCCUCCUGCCUUGGCCUCCCAAAGAACCUGUGUUUCAUCGUAUGUUAAUUACACAUCAAUAAAGCUGAUUUGAAGGAAAAACCACCACCACAAACGAGCAAGAAUGAAAUAACACACCAUAGCAUCACAGGGAAGGAAAAUGUAAAAAAAAGAAUCAAUGAAGUUUCCUGAUGACUAAAAAAUAUUGUUAGAAAACAAUUUCUGAUAUAUCAGCUUUUACCCCAAUAAACAGAGGGCAAGAGUUUGUUAAAAA
This 734-nucleotide long non-coding RNA is filed under the name Homo sapiens (human). RNAcentral's name for it is "HSALNT0293912". The record is from RNAcentral. Lineage: Eukaryota; Metazoa; Chordata; Mammalia; Primates; Hominidae.